UACGAAGGGGGCUAGCGUUGCUCGGAAUUACUGGGCGUAAAGCGCACGUAGCGGUCUCUUAAGUCGGUGGUGAAAUCCUGGAGCUCAACUCCAGAACUGCCUCGAUACUGGGGGACUCGAGUUCGGGGAGAGGUGAGUGGAACUGGCGAGUGUAGAGGUGAAAUUCGUAGAUAUUCGCAAGAACACCAGUGGCGAAGGCGGCUCACUGGCCCGAUACUGACGCUGAGGUGCGAAAGCGUGGGGAGCAAACAGG
RNAcentral lists this ribosomal RNA (253 nucleotides) under uncultured bacterium. RNAcentral's name for it is "partial 16S ribosomal RNA". It matches the Rfam family "Bacterial small subunit ribosomal RNA", at positions 524 to 776 of the family's 1533-position model. The record is from RNAcentral.